GCUAGUGAAGCAAAACGGACAUGCAAGAGACCUAAGCCCUCUAAUUAAGGGGUUCAAAUCCCCUCACUAACU
RNAcentral lists this transfer RNA (72 nucleotides) under Limnonectes fujianensis (Fujian large-headed frog). RNAcentral describes it as "tRNA-Leu". It matches the Rfam family "tRNA". From Rfam's summary of the family: Transfer RNA (tRNA) molecules are approximately 80 nucleotides in length. Their secondary structure includes four short double-helical elements and three loops (D, anti-codon, and T loops). Lineage: Eukaryota; Metazoa; Chordata; Amphibia; Anura; Dicroglossidae. The record is from RNAcentral.